UUACAGAAAUUACAGCACAAAGCAGUUAAUGCAAAUUAUUCAAUUGCAUUCAAUCCUGAUGUGGUUUUCUUGGACUCUUAAAUAGGAAAUGACCAACCAGCAUGAGGAGCCCUGGAAGGCAGUGCUGUGAUCGUGUUCAGGGCAGCAUCAAACAGAAGCCUGUUCUUGGAUUCCUGCUCUCUCUGCAAACAGCUUGCACUCAGAUUUUUGGGUGAUGUGUGUGAAGGACUUCGCUUGCCCAGAGAUCAAAGGACCGGCCCCCUGCAGGAUCCAUGGAACCACAG
Molecule: long non-coding RNA, 284 nt
Organism: Prinia subflava (tawny-flanked prinia)
Lineage: Eukaryota; Metazoa; Chordata; Aves; Passeriformes; Cisticolidae
Exons: 3
Source: RefSeq, a predicted model, not a curated record